CCCGUACUAACCCCCUCACCUCUGCUCUGCUUUGUCCUCUCACAUGGCGCAUCCCGGCUCCG
RNAcentral lists this non-coding RNA (62 nucleotides) under Octactis speculum. The record is from RNAcentral. Lineage: Eukaryota; Dictyochophyceae; Dictyochales; Dictyochaceae.